UUUUCUUUUUUUUUUUAAAUUACAAGCUUAUCUUUUGGCUGGUAUUUCCUUAUGUUCAUCUUUAAUCUUCAAUUUUUAUUUAGCAAUGUUUUUAAUCACAAUGAGAUCAUUGAUCAUUUAUUAUUUAAAAUAAAUUUGGACAAGAAUGUGUUUACGGGUCUAGUCUAAUGUGAUCCAGCCAGGUCAAUCAUACUAAUAGCAACCCGUUUAAACCCGGACCCAUUUUGACCCGUUACCCAACCUGCCCAUCUUGCCACUUUUGGGCAUGCGUUAGUUUUUAUCAUAUGAAAUUUUUUAUUCGGUGACAGGCUCUCGAUGAGAAGCAAAAUGAAGUCAUCGUGUCUGCUGCCAAUGAACUAAAUUGUGUUCAGAUGUUAAAAUCUUAAGAUUUGAAACUUCGAAAAACUGUAUAUAGGAAGGAUUCUGUGAUCACAGAGGAACAUUGCAAGAGGAUAAAGCGAAGAUUAAAAUAAGGAAAAUGGGCGUCUUUAAACAUGACUGGGCGCUAGGGUAUGAUCUUUCUCAAAAGGUAGUUUAUCUUUACGUUCUCGAGAUUGUAAAAUGGAUGGGUCGU
RNAcentral lists this long non-coding RNA (574 nucleotides) under Helianthus annuus (common sunflower). The record is from RNAcentral. Lineage: Eukaryota; Viridiplantae; Streptophyta; Magnoliopsida; Asterales; Asteraceae.